UGGUCAACAUGUCUGUCUGGCCCAAAAUUUUCUUAUGGUGUGAAUUUGUAGCCCAACUAUCAACUCACCGCUUGAUUUCUCUUACUGCAUCUGACACUGGUGAGAAGCCCCAUCUGCAAAGUCCUCUUCUUCAAACGGCUCUACGCUUAACAUCUCUGCUCUCUCUCACCCCUCCCCUCUGUCUAUUGGUAUUUCCUACUGGAUUUGUCACUGUGAGACUUUCAGUACUCAAAACUUCGGAUUCACAUACAAGUAAAAGAUAAUUGCAAUGGGUAGCCAAUCUGAUCCUCACGCUUUCGCUUUUUCUGCAGCUGAGUUGGAGUUUUUUCAGAAGAUGAUACGACUGAAAUUAUGCCAAACAUGAGAAUGGAACCUCUCAAUCUUGUAUAUGUAUUAUUUUCCUCUUUUAGUUAAAUUUAUUUCACAUAAGCUUUGUAGUGUUUGUGCUUAUUUUGUUUUGACUAUUCAAAUUAUCUGUCCACAAAUAGCAACACAGGUGCAUCUUUGGUUAGCAGUUGAUGUUAAAAAACAAAGGAAAAUGUACUAUCAGACCUCUUGAAGCCAUGUCCAUUGGCUUAUUGAAUUGACAUAUGUGGACGCUGUGGGUCGACGACAUUACUGUCUCAUCUGCUACAUCUUUAGAGGACCAUCAUACUCAUUGUUUCACCUCAGAAUUUCUUCCAGUUACUAAUAAGUCUCAUGUUUCCUUGCUUAAAACAUAGUCAUGCUAAUACGCUACCAAAAUUAAAUAGGAAAAUUCAAUUUUUGCAGAGCCAAAUUCCAAGUUGUUCAUUUCUUUUAAUUUGGUUUUCCUUUGGUAUUUUUAUCUCAGUUAUACCAGUUGUUUCUUAGAGCCUUGUUUUAACUUUCAAGGCCAGUCUA
Molecule: long non-coding RNA, 882 nt
Organism: Nicotiana tabacum (common tobacco)
Lineage: Eukaryota; Viridiplantae; Streptophyta; Magnoliopsida; Solanales; Solanaceae
Source: RefSeq, a predicted model, not a curated record